GAUGCAUGGAAAUGCACGCAUUGCAGAUACUGCAGUUAGUAUACAGAGACACCAAGUGCAUUUAAUUCCGAUUUACUUGUUAGGUAUACAAUAUUAUUAUUAUUCAGUAUAAAUUCCGUUACCGAUAAAAAAACGCAAUAAAUAAUAUCGACAUAACACGUUUUUGAACUGCCUUUUGUUAGUCACUGCGAUUUGUUACAGAUAUGUUUGAACGCUCGAAAUCACUGUGUAUAGUUACGACAUUUUAAAAUCGAUUUACGAGGUACUAAACGACGUUUUUACCGUUUUUCGCGUUGGCGACAAAAGACGCGGAAUACGGAAACUAACACUGUUGCAUUCUGAUUUAAUUUUUGAAAAUUUGCGAUAGUUGCGUGCACUUGCCGCUACGAGGAC
Molecule: non-coding RNA, 393 nt
Organism: Cinara cedri
Lineage: Eukaryota; Metazoa; Arthropoda; Insecta; Hemiptera; Aphididae
Source: the annotation of a GenBank genome assembly